RNAcentral lists this ribosomal RNA (451 nucleotides) under uncultured bacterium. RNAcentral describes it as "bacterial SSU rRNA". It matches the Rfam family "Bacterial small subunit ribosomal RNA", at positions 318 to 762 of the family's 1533-position model. The record is from RNAcentral.
GUCCCGCCGCCCCCGCCCGCCUACGGGAGGCAGCAGUGGGGAAUUUUGGACAAUGGGCGAAAGCCUGAUCCAGCAAUGCCGCGUGCAGGAUGAAGGCCUUCGGGUUGUAAACUGCUUUUGUACGGAACGAAAAAGCUCCUUCUAAUACAGGGGGCCCAUGACGGUACCGUAAGAAUAAGCACCGGCUAACUACGUGCCAGCAGCCGCGGUAAUACGUAGGGUGCGAGCGUUAAUCGGAAUUACUGGGCGUAAAGCGUGCGCAGGCGGUUAUGUAAGACAGAUGUGAAAUCCCCGGGCUCAACCUGGGAACUGCAUUUGUGACUGCAUGGCUAGAGUACGGUAGAGGGGGAUGGAAUUCCGCGUGUAGCAGUGAAAUGCGUAGAUAUGCGGAGGAACACCGAUGGCGAAGGCAAUCCCCUGGACCUGUACUGACGCUCAUGCACGAAAGCGU